GAUGAACGCUGGCGGCGUGCCUAAUACAUGCAAGUCGAGCGAACAGACGAGGAGCUUGCUCCUCUGACGUUAGCGGCGGACGGGUGAGUAACACGUGGAUCACCUACCUAUAAGACUGGGAUAACUUCGGGAAACCGGAGCUAAUACCGGAUAAUAUAUUGAACCGCAUUGUUCAAUAGUGAAAGACGGUUUUGCUGUCACUUAUAGAUGGUUCCGCGCCGCAUUAGCUAGUUGGUAAGGUAACGGCUUACCAAGGCAACGAUGCGUAGCCGACCUGAGAGGGUGAUCGGCCACACUGGAACUGAGACACGGUCCAGACUCCUACGGGAGGCAGCAGUAGGGAAUCUUCCGCAAUGGGCGAAAGCCUGACGGAGCAACGCCGCGUGAGUGAUGAAGGUCUUCGGAUCGUAAAACUCUGUUAUUAGGGAAGAACAAAUGUGUAAGUAACUAUGCACGUCUUGACGGUACCUAAUCAGAAAGCCACGGCUAACUACGUG
This 497-nucleotide ribosomal RNA is filed under the name uncultured bacterium. Its description in RNAcentral is "partial 16S ribosomal RNA". It matches the Rfam family "Bacterial small subunit ribosomal RNA", at positions 28 to 507 of the family's 1533-position model. The record is from RNAcentral.